RNAcentral lists this ribosomal RNA (440 nucleotides) under uncultured bacterium. Its description in RNAcentral is "partial 16S ribosomal RNA". It matches the Rfam family "Bacterial small subunit ribosomal RNA", at positions 338 to 795 of the family's 1533-position model. The record is from RNAcentral.
CCUACGGGGGACAGCAGUGGGGGAUAUUGCACAAUGGGGGAAACCCUGAUGCAGCGACGCCGCGUGAGUGAAGAAGUAUUUCGGUAUGUAAAGCUCUAUCAGCAGGGAAGAAAAUGACAGUACCUGACCAAGAAGCCCCGGCUAACUACGUGCCAGCAGCCGCGGUAAUACGUAGGGGGCAAGCGUUAUCCGGAUUUACUGGGUGUAAAGGGAGCGUAGACGGUUAUGUAAGUCUGGAGUGAAAGCCCGGGGCCCAACCCCGGGACUGCUUUGGAAACUGUGUAACUGGAGUACAGGAGGGGCAGGCGGAAUUCCUGGUGUAGCGGUGAAAUGCGUAGAUAUCAGGAGGAAUACUCAUUGCGAAGGCGACCUGCUAGAACAUAACUGACGCUGAUGCGCGAAAGCGUGGGGAGCAAACAGGAUUAGAUACCCGGGUAGUC